AGAACGAACGCUGGCGGCAUGCCUAACACAUGCAAGUCGAACGCUCAUCCGGCUUCGGCCGGAUGGGAGUGGCGCACGGGUGAGUAGCGCGUGGGAACCUGCCCUGUUGUGGGGGAUAAACCGAGGGAAACUUCGGCUAAUACCGCAUGCGCCCCGGCGAAAGCCGGGGGAAAGAUUUAUCGCAGCAGGAGGGGCCCGCGUCGGAUUAGGUAGUUGGUGGGUAACGGCCCACAAGCCGAUGAUCCGUAGCUGGUCUGAGAGGAUGAUCAGCCACACUGGGACUGAGACACGGCCCAGACUCCUACGGGAGGCAGCAGUGGGGAAUAUUGGACAAUGGGGGCAACCCUGAUCCAGCAAUGCCGCGUGAGUGAUGAAGGCCUUAGGGUUGUAAAGCUCUUUUCGCCCGGCGACGAUGAUGACGGUAGCGGGAGAAGAAGCCCCGGCUAACUUCGUGCCAGCAGCCGC
RNAcentral lists this ribosomal RNA (465 nucleotides) under uncultured bacterium. Its description in RNAcentral is "SSU rRNA". It matches the Rfam family "Bacterial small subunit ribosomal RNA", at positions 26 to 518 of the family's 1533-position model. The record is from RNAcentral.